Molecule: long non-coding RNA, 4098 nt
Organism: Myotis myotis
Lineage: Eukaryota; Metazoa; Chordata; Mammalia; Chiroptera; Vespertilionidae
Exons: 3
Source: RefSeq, a predicted model, not a curated record
AAUAGUGAGGGCAGCCCCAGCCCCUGCGAUCGCCAAGCUGCCAGCUCUCAGUGCAGCUCUAACUAGGGGCCAGGCUGCGGCUGGAAGAUGAAACUGGGCAAAAGGAAAUGUCAUUUCGGGGCGAUUUCACCACACGGGAGCCCUUCAGUAUUGGGAAGGGGAGCUGAGGACCGCAGGCGGAAGAUCGCCUGACCCCUGCCCACCUACCCCAAAGGCCAGCUCUGCGCUGGAAGAUGCAGAAUCCUAUGGCCCAACCAGUUCUGUUUUUAUAUAUCCAUUCUGCCAAAAUAUGUCUGCUUGUCCAUUAAACACGCAGGCCAUCACCGCAGAACUUGUUUGGUUGAGCACGCUGUUUCUCUAAACGAGGAGGGAAUUGACUCACCUACCUCCCAGGCGUCCGCUUCCGAGCAAGUCCCAGUGGGCUGUGCGGAGGGGAACCCAUGCCCUCGGCGGGGCCAUCCUCUCCCUCGCAGUCAGGCCCUGGAGGGUCGGAAACCGGGGGUUUGUGCACAAACCUGGGGUUUGUGCCUCCAUGCAUUUCAGCGGGCCUUACAAAUAGUCCCGAGGGCUCUGCUGUGAAAACUUCGGGAACCGCUGUCCUCAGCCACAGCCAUUAAGUGACUUCAUCUAGCUCAGUGGCCUGACCAUGGUAAACAGGACUAAUGGGGGCGGUGUUCUGCCCGGUCACAUGCUCCCAGCGAGGGCCUUAUGGCGUAGGAGUUAGAAGACAGGUCUCAGGGGCAAACCCAAAAGAAUCCUGGCUCUUUCAUGUUCAGCCAGGAUGUUUUGGUUAAGUGACUUGUUCUUGCUGGGGCUCAGUUUCCUCAUCUGUAAAAUGGGCUAAUGAUGAGUAGUAUCAUUAUCCUUAGAGUGAAGUGAAAUCGUGUGGAAAGCACGGAGCAAAGUGCCUGGUACCUGGUAGGUGCCCAAUUGAUUAUCAGAACUGAGGUCUUCUGACCCAGACCUCCCGAUAGGCACCUCGCCAUCCCCAUUACAUCAUCCAGCUUUCUCAGAGGCCGCCUGUCAUUUACUGAGAGGAAACCAACAACUAUAAACAACUGGUAUAUGCAAAGCACACUGGGUCCUGGUGUGUGGUUUUCCUUUCCCCUUGGGGAGGCCCAAGAAUUGCAAUACACAGAAGUCGUCCAGCCGUUCAGUGCAAAGGCAGUAAGAGUCCCUGAGCCACUACACGUCUUCCACAGGCACAACUGAGGACCCACAGCACCUGUCCUCCUCUUGUUGUAUCAGGAGACUUGUCAGUGCUCCUGAGGGCUGACCACGCAGAUGGCUGAAAAUUAAAGCAAGUAACACUGCCCCAGCUUUGACGCUGCAGAGGUCACGGAAGAAAGACUUCAGUGGCAGCUCGCCCCACCCGUUCUAUUGUGGGGACCCAGGUCAAGCACGCCGAGGCUGGAGCCGAUAGGAAGAGCAGCGCUCCUGUGGGAGAACGGUUCAUGCCACGCACAAGUCAAAGCUGCCGGAAAGGAGACGUCUCGUUUCUUCCUCCCGUGCUGUGAAGGGCACCAUGUUUCCAGCUUUACUCCUCCCUCAAGGAGGAAAAGGACAGCACUUCUCUGGGUCUCAAGGCCAGGCUGCUUCCCUCUGUAGCUACCCAAGACGGGGCGAAAGACUGGUGACUGACUCCAGAUCGCAGCCAAACAUACCAACUGCUGUUGAAGGGCAGGCAAGUGAGCGAAGGCCAACUGUAGACUUGGCAUUGGACCGAGAAUUUAAAGACUACAAGGUGAUCAAAAUGAAAAGCGGAGUACGAGGGAGCAAACUCAGCUGAUCUGGAGCGUCAACCCGUGGACCAUCAGGGGCUGAGACCCAGGAAGAAAGACUGUAGGCCUCAACACAGCUUUUCCAAAUGAGCGUUGAUUAUUUAUUUGAAAAAAAGUCACAAGUUCCUGCUCUAGUGGGAGCCUCCUAGGAACGGGACUCACAGGCAAGGAGCGGGGCUGGCUCCUCGGUGCUACCGGAGAGGAGCACUGGUGCUUUAAUGGGCAGAGUCUCCGUUUUGCAAGAUAAAGACGUUCUGGAGAUGUUACACCACAAGGUGAAUAUUCUUUUUUUCUUUUUUGCCAUUUUUAAAAUAUAACAUUGCUUAGAUGGUUUGAUACAGAAUAGCUUUUCUUCUCGUUUUGAACCGGAAGUACUACACAACUGAAUACAAAGAGGAACAAAAAGUACCAAAGCCAAAUUUGUGAUUUUGUUCAUGUGGCAUAAACAUUGUGAAUGUUCUUAACGCUACUGAACUGUACACUGAAAAAUGGUUGUGACCUGGUGGGCAGGGCAGGGGGUGGAGAAUCUGGGCACGGCCACCAUUUCAGGGAAGAGAAAUACUCCUCACCCCAGCAAUCCCGUGAGGCUAGUCUUACUAUUAUUUCCAAUUUUCAGAUGAAGAAACUGAGACAAAGGUGAAGGAACCGCCAGGGUCACCGUGUCAGUAAGAUGUGCGGAGAUUUGACUAGACGCGCUGCUGGGGAGUGGUUUACGGGGUCUCGGGCAGCUUGCUCACAUCUCCUCUGUUAACCACCAGACCACAAGCUUCUGGGGAUUUGGCUCAUUCACUGCUGCUGCCCAGCGCCAGUGUUUGACACACAGUAUCUGCUGCACAAAUGAGCUAUGAACUCUGUGGCUUUUUUUUUCCAAGGAGGGGGUGGUGGCGACCUGUAACCCAACUCAGUCAAAACAGAUUAGCGCCCAAAGACUAGUCGCUCACUGUGGUUCCGGACCUGCCGCCCUUCCUGUGCAGCAGGCCCCUGUGGGCCCUACGCUGCCAAAGGCCGGCCUGCCAAUCAACCCAGUGGCCGAGGAGAACCAAGAGCCACGACAUAAGGCUCCUCCCCGCUUUUCCUGUCGAAGCUGAACACAGUACCUCCCACCCAGCUGGCAAGCCUUUCACCCCAGUUACCCUUCAUUCUUCGUUCUCCUCCUGCUUCCGCCAGCCGGUCACCAAGCCCCACUGCUGUACAAGUCGUAUGUAUGUGCGGCCAGCCCACCUCCUCGGUCCCUCAAUCUCAGCUGGCCAUAUUCGCUGCCGUUAGUAUCUCCACCAGCCUAUUCUCCGGCCGCCACUGCCACGCUCCCUCUCCCAUGACAUUCGCUGCUUUCAAAGCUGUGAUGGUCCCCCUACGAUCAGAUGUCCCAAUCUCCUCAACGGGAUUCAGUGUCCUUCCGGACCUGGCCCAGCCUCCACUCCAGCCACUUGCCUUACAGGUGCACCAUUCUAGCCAUGCCAGACUCAAGUUUCCAGUACAAAGUGCAGCUGCACCUCCACAUUUGCUUCUUGCCCAUCUACUCAGCAACCUAGCUCUCAUUUGAAGCAGACCUCAAAUGUCCUCUUUCCUACAGCUCCCUGCGACUCCCCUACUACCCCGACCCCGACCCAAGGCAGCUAUGUGCUGAUCCUUGUCUCUGAGCUCUGUGCCCAACCCUCUACUCCAGAGCUGCUCAUGCCGAAUGACUUCCUGCUGAUCUCGGUAGCCCAAGCCCCUUGGUGGACAGGAUCAUUCAUUUCUAUCCCAGCGCCUACUGAAAAGCCAGCACCGUAGAAGGCCCUCGGAAGCUGCUGAAUUAACUAUGAUCAUUAGGUUAUAUUUAGUGGGACUUCUCAGUAACAGUGGAAUCAGGAGCAAACAGCACUAAUACCACUUGCCAAGUAACCCUAAGUGCUGGGGAUGCACGCCCUCAUUUAAUUCUCAUAACUAUUAUGUCCACUUUACAAAUGAGGAAAUGGAGGCCUCGAACAGCUUAGUGGUUUGCCCUAAAUCCUUCAACUAUUAGCAGCAGUGCCGGGCUGUGAGCCCGGACACCGUCCCCCGAUAUCUGCACACACUGCUUGCUUUGCUUUACAGGCGCUGUCACAGGACACAGUUACAUUUUGGGGGAUGUGAUCAGACCUGCAAGAUAACUGAAUGUACUGAAGAAUGAGCCAGCCUGAAUUAAACUCUAAUAGCUUUUACCAAUGUCUUUCAUUGGUAAAACAUUUUCAUAGGUAAACUGUUCUACUUGAACUAAAAUGUGAUAACAAUCCUAUUCUGAGAGGACUUGAAACUCAGGGCCUAUUUUUUCUCAGUGAGGGAACAUACCUGUUAA